This 1704-nucleotide ribosomal RNA is filed under the name Salmonella enterica. RNAcentral's name for it is "partial 23S ribosomal RNA". It matches the Rfam family "Bacterial large subunit ribosomal RNA", at positions 1243 to 2925 of the family's 2925-position model. RNAcentral also lists the same sequence under 1 other name. The record is from RNAcentral. Lineage: Bacteria; Pseudomonadati; Pseudomonadota; Gammaproteobacteria; Enterobacterales; Enterobacteriaceae.
UAAGCCGUUGAAGGUGGCCUGUGAGGGUUGCUGGAGGUAUCAGAAGUGCGAAUGCUGACAUAAGUAACGAUAAAGCGGGUGAAAAGCCCGCUCGCCGGAAGACCAAGGGUUCCUGUCCAACGUUAAUCGGGGCAGGGUGAGUCGACCCCUAAGGCGAGGCCGAAAGGCGUAGUCGAUGGGAAACGGGUUAAUAUUCCCGUACUUGGUGUUACUGCGAAGGGGGGACGGAGAAGGCUAUGUUGGCCGGGCGACGGUUGUCCCGGUUUAAGCGUGUAGGUGUGUGUUCCAGGUAAAUCCGGUUCACUUUAACACUGAGGCGUGACGACGAGGCACUACGGUGCUGAAGCAACAAAUGCCCUGCUUCCAGGAAAAGCCUCUAAGCCUCAGGUAACAUCAAAUCGUACCCCAAACCGACACAGGUGGUCAGGUAGAGAAUACCAAGGCGCUUGAGAGAACUCGGGUGAAGGAACUAGGCAAAAUGGUGCCGUAACUUCGGGAGAAGGCACGCUGACACGUAGGUGAAGUGGUUUACCCAUGGAGCUGAAGUCAGUCGAAGAUACCAGCUGGCUGCAACUGUUUAUUAAAAACACAGCACUGUGCAAACACGAAAGUGGACGUAUACGGUGUGACGCCUGCCCGGUGCCGGAAGGUUAAUUGAUGGGGUCAGCGCAAGCGAAGCUCCUGAUCGAAGCCCCGGUAAACGGCGGCCGUAACUAUAACGGUCCUAAGGUAGCGAAAUUCCUUGUCGGGUAAGUUCCGACCUGCACGAAUGGCGUAAUGAUGGCCAGGCUGUCUCCACCCGGGACUCAGUGAAAUUGAACUCGCUGUGAAGAUGCAGUGUACCCGCGGCAAGACGGAAAGACCCCGUGAACCUUUACUAUAGCUUGACACUGAACACUGGUCCUUGAUGUGCAGGAUAGGUGGGAGGCUUUGAAGUGUGGACGCCAGUCUGCAUGGAGCCAUCCUUGAAAUACCACCCUUUAAUGGCUGGUGUUCUAACGUGGGCCCCUGACCGGGGUUGCGGACAGUGUCUGGUGGGUAGUUUGACUGGGGCGGUCUCCUCCUAAAGAGUAACGGAGGAGCACGAAGGUUGGCUAAUCCUGGUCGGACAUCAGGAGGUUAGUGCAAUGGCAUAAGCCAGCUUGACUGCGAGCGUGACGGCGCGAGCAGGUGCGAAAGCAGGUCAUAGUGAUCCGGUGGUUCUGAAUGGAAGGGCCAUCGCUCAACGGAUAAAAGGUACUCCGGGGAUAACAGGCUGAUACCGCCCAAGAGUUCAUAUCGACGGCGGUGUUUGGCACCUCGAUGUCGGCUCAUCACAUCCUGGGGCUGAAGUAGGUCCCAAGGGUAUGGCUGUUCGCCAUUUAAAGUGGUACGCGAGCUGGGUUUAGAACGUCGUGAGACAGUUCGGUCCCUAUCUGCCGUGGGCGCUGGAAGAUUGAGGGGGGCUGCUCCUAGUACGAGAGGACCGGAGUGGACGCAUCACUGGUGUUCGGGUUGUCAUGCCAAUGGCACUGCCCGGUAGCUACAUGCGGAAGAGAUAAGUGCUGAAAGCAUCUAAGCACGAAACUUGCCCCGAGAUGAAUCUUCCCUGAGCCUUUAAGGCUCCUGAAGGAACGUUGAAGACGACGACGUUGAUAGGCCGGGUGUGUAAGCGCAGCGAUGCGUUGAGCUAACCGGUACUAAUGAACCGUGAGGCUUAACCUU